Molecule: ribosomal RNA, 482 nt
Filed under: uncultured bacterium
Lineage: Bacteria
Description: bacterial SSU rRNA
Rfam family: Bacterial small subunit ribosomal RNA
Source: RNAcentral
ACUAAACGCUGGCGGCGUGCCUAACACAUGCAAGUCGUACGAGAAAGUCGGCUUCGGCUGAUGAGUAAAGUGGCGCACGGGUGAGUAACGCGUGGAUAAUCUGCCCUUGAGUGUGGAAUAACGUACCGAAAGGUGCGCUAAUACCGCAUAAUGCCUGGCAACACAAGUUGUCCGGCCAAAGAAGGCCUCUGUUUACAAGCUUUUGCUCAAGGAUGAGUCCGCGUACCAUUAGCUAGUUGGUGGGGUAACGGCCUACCAAGGCUACGAUGGUUAGCUGGUCUGAGAGGAUGAUCAGCCACACUGGAACUGAGACACGGUCCAGACUCCUACGGGAGGCAGCAGUGAGGAAUAUUGCGCAAUGGGGGCAACCCUGACGCAGCAACGCCGCGUGAGUGAGGAAGGUUUUCGGACUGUAAAGCUCUGUCGAGCGGGAAGAAUGUACCAUGGCUAAUAUCCAUGAUAUUUGACGGUACCGCUAGAGG